AUGUAUCUUUAUACAUUUUAAAAAAGAGGAUUUGAUGCCCAAUAAAAGACUAUGUAGCCGGAAGAGAGAUGGGCCUAUAAAACCGGGUGAAUUAUAAUCUGGGUAAUGAAAAGUGAUUGCCAAUGUGAUCACAAUUCUAUCGUGGGUAUCUUUUGAAAAAGAGAAGUGGUGUCCCAGCUCUCCAAGGGGCGAAAAUGGUACAGUUCAGAGAUAACGAAAUGAGAAGACUGAUGUGGGUCUCCAACAAAUUCUUCAACAGCCUAUUGCGUAGAUGAGAACGCUGGGCGAAAGCUUGGGUUUACAGACACCAUAUUAUGCCAGAUUCCCCUCAUUUCCUUCUCUGUUGGGUUAUUAUAUGGGUUGAUCAUGUAUUCACUUAUUUAUUCGUUCGCUCAUUCAUCGAACAGACAUGAAUUACGUAAAUGUUCCACGAACUACGCUCCGGGAAGUGUCUUGGCGAUGAAGACAGAAAUACAAGCUUCUCGUAGGAGAGAAAAGAACAAAUAUGUAUAGAGACUCUGCCGUGUUCCCGGCAAUGGCAGCCGUGGAAAAGUACUGCUUGGAUCGUCUGGUGUGAGGGGACCCAGCUGCUUCUCUUCCAGACUCACCACCACAUUCGCACCAAGGCCACUGUCCCCCAAGCUGCUUUCGAUCCAAUGACAGAGCACAGUAGAGAGGACCAGAUAGAAAGGGUCCCUGCCCCAUGUGAGAUGACUCUACCACGCUGUGGCAUUAACGCGACCAGAUUUCCCGCCCCUUCUAUUUCCGAACAACCUUCAUCAAACUGCUCCCUGGAAGGGCGAAGCCUCACAGUUGCAGGGAUGGAUGUGAGCUGAGACGAGUUUUAAGGGCUCAGCAAUCUGCUGACAGAGGAUGAAAGGAGGGAGUUGAGGACCAGUCAGAAGAAGUUCCACCCCCAACGGUGGCAUCCAUCUCCGUGCCCCCCUGCCCUCCCCACCUGCAGGGAGGCUAGCAAAUGGAGUUCUGUCAUCGGGCGCAUUGCUGGUAAGAAGGGAGGGUAGAUCUGAAGAGGCACCAGCAGUCCUGACACAGACUCGAAAGGAAGACUCUGCUCAAAUGCUGGACUGAAAGCAAAUGACCACUUUCUGCUCACCCAGCUUGGACUAGCUCCAUAUAAGACGAAGGCUGUUUGCCAGGGGGACCUUCUGUGCUGGCCCUCUGGGGUUGAAUAAAGGCCAAAUAUUCCCCACAUCUAUUCUGCCCGAGGUUCUGCAUACAGUUCGGAGAAAUCUUCCUUUUUGGUGAAUACAACCACCUCUGAAAACAUGACCACAAAGGCAUUCAGUCCCCAGAGACCCCCAAAGACCGAUGAGACGUGGAAACAGGAAAGGUAAUGUACGAAUUCAGAAAAAUCAUGCCCUGCUUGCUCCUGUAACUCAAGCAAACUACUUUCAUAAUUUAAAGCAACAAACCACACAAAACCCCGUAUGAAGAAUGCCUUCAGUGAAAAGGAGGGCGUGAGUCAAGAGACCUCAGGUUGGCUCUCGCUGGUUUGGAGAACGUGGCAAGAUGAUCGAAGGUCCCGUUUAAAUGGCGGUUGGAAAUAUGGAACUACGAUGUGGGGAUCGGGGUCCCAGAAAAUGGAUUUGAUGGCUCAUAGAGAAGAGGAGGAAGAGUAUAUAGAAAGAAGUGACAAAUUCCCAGAGGAUUCUGCUCACCCGCCCGGCUGUGUCUAAAAUAACCAGCACCAACCCCUUCCAAGUCAACCCAUGUCUUCAAGGACCAAUCAACAGAUAAUACUAAGUGCCCAUCCAUUUGAAAAGAGGGAUAAUCUGCGACUAAGAAACACGCAAUGAAGGUGAUCUAAAAUGAUAACUUUGGUAGAAAACGUGCUUAAAGAUGUGUGUCUAAAUAUGUCAGUAUUUACCAUAUAACUGAGGAGUGCUUUCUUCCCUCUGAAAUUAAAUUUUGCAAUUUAAGACAACUCACUCUGAUGAAAGGACCGUUUAUUCACUAAGGAAGUUAUUUCUGUGCAACGUUAAUCAUCUUAAGCUCAGGGUUUCUCCAGAGGGAUUAUUACCACUUUGUUACAGGAAAGAAACCACAUUACUAGACUAGUAUCCUCGCUAACACUGUAAGAUGGAAUUUAGAAAUAUGAUGGGCGUUAUGACUUCCCUGUGGGCGCCAUGAUCACACAUGGGCACCAUUAUCGCCGGUGGAAAAGACGGCAACUGCUUUGGGUGCAAUGGAAACGACACAUUAAUGAAACUGACCAGGCUGACGUGUUCUUGAGCGCUGAUGGAAUUCAAGGAAAAAGCCUUAUUUGUGAGCAGCUUAAAUAAUUGGAAGAUCCUGACUGACAUUCACCGCCGUGACGAUGACAGACUUAAUUCCAGAAUUUCACAUAACGGUGUAGCGUGUUGAGAAAAGUGAAUAAUCCUUACUCUUUUAGACACCCAGAUAUGCAUUAAGCAUUUUAAAUAAUGCUCUUAUACCUAAAACUAUUUGAGACUAUCAACUGGGGCUCGGCUCUGGCAAAAACUGUGCCAUUGGGA
Molecule: long non-coding RNA, 2516 nt
Organism: Orcinus orca (killer whale)
Lineage: Eukaryota; Metazoa; Chordata; Mammalia; Artiodactyla; Delphinidae
Exons: 3
Source: RefSeq, a predicted model, not a curated record